AUCCCUAUCACCUGGGGAUCUGAUUAGAAUGCAGAUUCUGAUUCAGAGGCUUGGGGUGAGAUUCUUGAGACUCUGCAUUUCUAAUAAACUCCCAGGUGAGGUAGAU
Molecule: microRNA precursor, 106 nt
Filed under: Marmota monax (woodchuck)
Lineage: Eukaryota; Metazoa; Chordata; Mammalia; Rodentia; Sciuridae
Rfam family: mir-544 microRNA precursor family
Source: RNAcentral